CCUACGGGUGGCAGCAGUGGGGAAUAUUGCGCAAUGGGCGAAAGCCUGACGCAGCGACGCCGCGUGAGGGAUGAAGGUCUUCGGAUCGUUAACCUCUGUCAGCAGGGAAGAACGGUCACUGUGCUAAUCAGCAGUGAAUUGACGGUACCUGCAAAGGAAGCACCGGCUAACUCCGUGCCAGCAGCCGCGGUAAUACGGAGGGUGCGAGCGUUAAUCGGAAUUACUGGGCGUAAAGCGCUCGUAGGCGGUAUGUCAAGUCAAGGGUGAAAUCCCCGCGCUCAACGUGGGAACUGCCUUUUAAACUGGCAGACGGGAGUGUGUGAGAGGAUAGUGGAAUUCGAGGUGUAGGGGUGAAAUCCGUAGAGAGCUGGAGGAACAUCAGUGGCGAAGGCGACUAUCUGGCACAUAACUGACGCUGAGGAGCGAAAGCGUGGGUAGCAAACAGGAUUAGAUACCCGAGUAGUC
RNAcentral lists this ribosomal RNA (465 nucleotides) under uncultured bacterium. RNAcentral describes it as "partial 16S ribosomal RNA". It matches the Rfam family "Bacterial small subunit ribosomal RNA", at positions 338 to 795 of the family's 1533-position model. The record is from RNAcentral.